GGACGACGUCAAGUCAUCAUGGCCCUUACGACCAGGGCUACCCACGUGUUCCAAUGGUCGGUACAAAGGGUUGGUACCUAGCGAUAGGAUGCUAAUCUCAAAAAGCCGAUUGUAGUCCGGAUUGGAGUUUGCAAUUGGACUCCAUGAAGUCGGAAUCGUUAGUAAUCGCGGAUCACAAUGCCGCGGGGAAUACGUUCCCGGCCCUUGUACACACCGCCCGUCCCCCCAUGGGAAUUUGUUGCACCAGAA
Molecule: ribosomal RNA, 249 nt
Filed under: Acinetobacter sp.
Lineage: Bacteria; Pseudomonadati; Pseudomonadota; Gammaproteobacteria; Moraxellales; Moraxellaceae
Description: partial 16S ribosomal RNA
Rfam family: Bacterial small subunit ribosomal RNA
Source: RNAcentral